This 265-nucleotide ribosomal RNA is filed under the name uncultured archaeon. RNAcentral's name for it is "partial 16S ribosomal RNA". It matches the Rfam family "Archaeal small subunit ribosomal RNA", at positions 717 to 982 of the family's 1478-position model. The record is from RNAcentral.
ACACGACUACAUUAGAUACCCCCUGUAGUCCUAGCCGUAAACGAUACUCGCUAGGUGUCGGCCACGGUGCGACCGUUGUCGGUGCCGUAGGGAAGCCGUGAAGCGAGCCACCUGGGAAGUACGGCCGCAAGGCUGAAACUUAAAGGAAUUGGCGGGGGAGCACCGCAACGGGAGGAGCGUGCGGUUUAAUUGGAUUCAACACCGUAAACUCACCAGGGAAGACUGUUACAUGAAGGCCGAGAUGAAGACUCUGCUAGAUUUUCAG